UUAUUUCCAUUCAACAAGUUCAAAACCAAUGCAUAGCCUGUGGUAAUGAAUCCUUCGAAUGAUAUCAUAGCCUUAGACAUAGUCAUUUUCUGUCAAAAGACUUUCUUGUAAGCAGUGGGUAAAGACUUUUUUUAAGCCUCUGUCUAAAGAUUUCUUUUUAAGCCGUUGGUACUAAAAGGUCUUUGUCUAAAGACCUUUUUUUGACAAGCCGUGGGUACUACUAAUGUGAUGAAAACAUAUUCAAUCACAAUCUUUGUCAAAAGACUUUCUUGCAAGCCGUGUGUUGUGAUGAAGGCGUUUUCAAUCACAGUCUCUGUCUAAAGACUUCUUUUUAAGCCGUUGGUACUAAACUUUGUCACCCUUUAUCCAUCUCUCAAUUUCAUAGCCUUAGACAUAGUCAUUUUCUGUCAAAAAGACUAUUUUUAAGGCGACGGUUAUUUUUGUAAAGCCGUGGGUACUAAAGUGUGUUUUACUUUCCAUCCCCCAAACAUCUCCUUGCACUACCAACCAAUAGUUUCUAGGGUCAUGGUGUAAAUUUCCUCUGGGUCUAUGCUUCACGCAACAGGGACUCGGGACAUUGUCUCCAAAUAAGAUUCUGGCAGAACACUAUUAGAUUAGUGCCUGCCUAUGAACUUUUUGGAGUUUCAUAAAACUUAAUCAAAAGUAAGAAUCGGCAGUAAAAAGACAUAAAGAAGUAAAACAACUUACAUGUUUUAUGUUGCUACUUCUUUAGCCGUUCAAGUCAGAGACUCACACUUAUCUUCAAUCUGUAAAAAAAAAACAGAGAGAGGCUAAAGUGAUCGGUAAUUCUACAAUAUACAAGCAAUCGACACAAGAAAGAAACAUAUGUAUAUAAGCAUCGCUUUAUAUAACCAAUUUCAAGUCAAAGAUAUUAGAUAAACAUCCAUAACAGAACAGCAAGUAGCACAAAUCUAAAGCACGAUCAAGUUCUAAGUAAAACUGUAAAUCAAAAUAUAAUUGUUCUCAUGUUAAUUGCUAAAAUACAUACAGUAAUCUCAACGCAAACUGGUCAGAUAUGUUCGUCUAUGAAACUCAAAGAUUAGAAGAACAAAAACAAUUUGCGUAGACAGAGACGUUACCUCAACAAUGAUUCCAUACGGGUUCAAGCGCUUUCCAGGAUCACUACAACAAUAAAUAAAUGAACGAUUAAGGAAAAAAAAUCGUAAAAACCCAAUCGAUCGCAUCAAAUCCCUAAUUAAAUAAGAUAUGAACAAAAUCCAACAAAACAGAUUCACGAUCAAGAGAAAUCGAAGAGAAAGAACGUACUCUUUCAAGACUCGUGAACUUCUCUGCUUCUUUGAAAAGGAGUUAUCUCCAGAAAAUUUGAGAAAAAAACUUUUGGGAGAAAACCCUAAGAGAAGUGAAAGAACCGAGG
This 1396-nucleotide long non-coding RNA is filed under the name Brassica rapa (field mustard). RNAcentral describes it as "long non-coding RNA (BRAP_LNC004564)". The record is from RNAcentral. Lineage: Eukaryota; Viridiplantae; Streptophyta; Magnoliopsida; Brassicales; Brassicaceae.